CCUACGGGAGGCAGCAGUAAGGAAUAUUGGUCAAUGGACGAAAGUCUGAACCAGCCAUGCCGCGUGAAGGAUGAAGGUCCUCUGGAUUGUAAACUUCUUUUAUCUGGGACGAAAAAAGGGCUUUCUAGCUCACUUGACGGUACCAGAGGAAUAAGCACCGGCUAACUCCGUGCCAGCAGCCGCGGUAAUACGGAGGGUACAAGCGUUAUCCGGAUUUACUGGGUUUAAAGGGAGCGUAGGUGGGCAGGUAAGUCAGUGGUGAAAUCUCUGGGCUUAACCCGGGAAACUGCCAUUGAUACUAUCUGUCUUGAAUAUCCUGGAGGUAAGCGGAAUAUGUCAUGUAGCGGUGAAAUGCUUAGAUAUGACAUAGAACACCCAUUGCGAAGGCAGCUUACUACGGGAUUAUUGACACUGAGGCUCGAAAGCGUGGGGAUCAAACAGGAUUAGAUACCCUGGUAGUCCACGCCCUAAACCGAUGGAUACUCGACAUCAGCGAUACACUGUUGGUUGUCUGAGNGAAGACAUAAGUAGUCCGACCGUACGGAGGUACGUAACCGGCGAGGUUAGUUAACGUACGAAAGGAAGUUAGACGGCGUUGNGACGNGCGACGGACGACGACGAGGGAGGAGG
Molecule: ribosomal RNA, 630 nt
Filed under: uncultured bacterium
Lineage: Bacteria
Description: bacterial SSU rRNA
Rfam family: Bacterial small subunit ribosomal RNA (bases 1-538)
Source: RNAcentral